This 1313-nucleotide long non-coding RNA is filed under the name Salmo salar (Atlantic salmon). RNAcentral's name for it is "lncRNA (ENSSSAG00000109976.1)". Lineage: Eukaryota; Metazoa; Chordata; Actinopteri; Salmoniformes; Salmonidae. The record is from RNAcentral.
CAACAGGGACAGUAAGGUGACUUGCAGAACAGACAGCAUCUGUUAGGUUCUCAGGUAGUAUCUCAGGUAGGUUCCCAGGUAGGAUCCCAGGCAGGUUCCCAGGUAGGUUCCCAGGUAGGUUCCCAGGUAGGAUCCCAGGUUGGAUCCCAGGUAGGUUCUCAGGUGCGUUCUCAAGUAGGUUUUCAGGUAGGUUCUCAGGUGACGCUGGACUGUUAGGUGGGACAUCCCCUGUAUAUGUGGACACCACUACAGCAGUGACAUCAUCUCCAUCUCCACAGUCUGACCACGUCACAGAGGGGUCGAGGGUCAGGGUUAGGGUUACAGAGGGGUCGAGGGUUACAGAGGGGUCGAGGUGGAGGGCUUGGUCUGUAGCAGGUUGACUGUCUGAGUGUUCUGACCCCUCCUCUGUCCUGGUGCCACAGGAUCCCUGAUCCACUGUCCUGUCAGAGUGGUCUCCGCUGUGUUCCCCUAGAACCAAGGGGGCCUCACUCCGUCUCCGUAGGACCUCUGUUAUCUCCAUCGCUACACCCUCUCCACCCUCCUCUCCACCCUCCAUCUCUCCACCUGCUCCACCAGACGCUCCCCCAGAGUUGGAACCUGUUUCUGGGGGCGGGAAGUCUCCGUCCAUGGGGGUAGUCCCAUCCCUGGUCUCUGGAGGGUGCUCACUGUCUGACUGGCGGUCAAUCUGGUGGUAUUUCUGGAGGUCUGCAGGUACAGACACUAUCCCUUCUGUUACCUCUGACCCUAACACACCCUCCUUAGUCUCAGCUCUGAGGCCAGAGUCACCAGCCUCUAUGGGCUUACCCUGUCUGGCACCCUGUCUCUCGCCUUCUCUGUCACCCUGUCUGUCACCCUGUCUCUCACCUUCUCUGCCACCCUGUCCGACACCCUGUCUGUCACCUUCUCUGUCACCCUGUCUCUCACCUUCUCUGUCACCCUGUCUGUCACCCUGUCUGUCACCUUCUCUGUCACCAUGUCUGGCACCCUGUCUCUCACCUUCUCUGUGACCCUGUCUGUCACCCUGUCUCUCACCUUCUCUGUCACCCUGUCUGGCACUGCCCUCUAGUGGCAGAUCCCCCUCGGACACCUGCUCUGACUGAGGCUCUGAUGAGGACUCUGAGCGAUGCUCUAUUGCGGGCUCUAGUGUCGGCUCUAACCGGGGUUGAGGCUCUAACAGGGGUUCUGGGGGUGUAGGCUCUAACAGGGGUUCUGGUGGUGUAGGCUCUAACAGGGGUUCAGGCUCUAACAGGGGUUCAGGCUCUAACAGGGGUUCAGGCUCUAACAGGGGUUCUGGUGGUGUAGACUCUAACAGG